GGUCCCAUAGCUCAGUUGGUUAGAGCGUCGUACUAAUAGUCACACUUCCUCACCGUGAGGAUGACCAUUAAGUGAAAUGCGAAGGCCGAGAGUUCAAGCCUCUCUGGGAUCA
Coniochaeta sp. 2T2.1 is the source of this 112-nucleotide non-coding RNA. Lineage: Eukaryota; Fungi; Ascomycota; Sordariomycetes; Coniochaetales; Coniochaetaceae. The record is from the annotation of a GenBank genome assembly.